This 203-nucleotide long non-coding RNA is filed under the name Gorilla gorilla gorilla (western lowland gorilla). Its description in RNAcentral is "lncRNA (ENSGGOG00000044424.1)". The record is from RNAcentral. Lineage: Eukaryota; Metazoa; Chordata; Mammalia; Primates; Hominidae.
GCUUAUCUGCCCCUGGCCAUGGUUUAUGUUGUUGACUGAUUGCACCAGCUGCUGAGAGGUGGUUUUAUGUAGUGUGCUGCAGGAGGCUUCUCACAUGCUUUGGGAUAUCUUCAGGGAAAUCCGCUCUUAAUAGAAACUGAGAAUUUAAGCUGAUUCUUUGGAUUAUGCUUCUUGAUGACUGUAGGCAUCAUUUGGUCUCCCAC